CUAUUCUGGACAACCUCACUGAUGCCUCACAAGUCACAAUAACCUCAUAACUCGAGUUGAACUCGAUUUUGUGACUUUUUCGUAUUCUGGCGAAAACCUCACAGUCACAAGAACCUCAUAAGGUGAGAGCAGGUCACAACUCACAAAUUACUAGAGUUUUGAUAUUUUUUAUUUCCAUAAAUAUUUUGGGAACAAUUUUAAGA
This is a long non-coding RNA of Episyrphus balteatus (marmalade hoverfly), 203 nucleotides long. RefSeq lists it as uncharacterized. The transcript is spliced from 2 exons. Lineage: Eukaryota; Metazoa; Arthropoda; Insecta; Diptera; Syrphidae. The record is from RefSeq and is a predicted model, not a curated record.